This 296-nucleotide long non-coding RNA is filed under the name Brassica napus (rape). RNAcentral's name for it is "long non-coding RNA (BNAP_LNC025743)". The record is from RNAcentral. Lineage: Eukaryota; Viridiplantae; Streptophyta; Magnoliopsida; Brassicales; Brassicaceae.
GAGGAGUACUUUACUUUUGAUGAAAUAAUUGUAAUAUUCACAAAUGUAUGAUGUAGCCCUUGUGUCUAUCCAUAUAGCCUAUGCAAUUAUUUUAGCCCUCGGUCCUUACACUAACUUACAUACACAUGUAUGGGAUGAAGUAGAGAGUUGUACUUUGGUUUUUGAGGAAUAAUUAGUGGUCCAUUCUGCAUAUGCGGUACUGUUAUUUUCUUUUAACUUAUGCGGUACUGUUGCAUAUAACUCUUAAACUGUUACGUAUGUAAUUUAAACAUGAACAAUAUGGAAUCUCGUGCACU